Molecule: ribosomal RNA, 481 nt
Filed under: uncultured bacterium
Lineage: Bacteria
Description: bacterial SSU rRNA
Rfam family: Bacterial small subunit ribosomal RNA
Source: RNAcentral
GAUCAUGGCUCAGGACGAACGCUGGCGGCGUGCUUAACACAUGCAAGUUGAACGGUAUGACAUGGAAGCUUGCUGAAGUGUCAUAUAGUAGCGGACGGGUGAGUAAUGCAUGAGAAGCUGCCAUUGGGAGGGGGACAACAGUUGGAAACGGCUGCUAAUACCCCGUAUGCCGGAAGGUGAAAGGGAGCGAUCCGCCCGAUGAGGUGCUCAUGUCCUAUCAGCUGGUUGGUGGGGUAACGGCCUACCAAGGCGACGACGGGUAGCCGGCCUGAGAGGGUGAACGGCCACACUGGAACUGAGAUACGGUCCAGACUCCUACGGGAGGCAGCAGUGGGGAAUAUUGGGCAAAUGGGGGCAACCCUGACCCAGCGACGCCGCGUGGGGGAAGACGGCCUUCGGGUUGUAAACCUCUUUUGUACGGGAAGAAGGAAGUGACGGUACUGUACGAAUAAGUCCCGGCUAACUACGUGCCAGCAGCAGC